Molecule: ribosomal RNA, 253 nt
Filed under: uncultured bacterium
Lineage: Bacteria
Description: partial 16S ribosomal RNA
Rfam family: Bacterial small subunit ribosomal RNA
Source: RNAcentral
UACAGAGGUCUCAAGCGUUGUUCGGAUUCAUUGGGCGUAAAGGGUGCGUAGGUGGCGAUGUAAGUCUGGUGUGAAAUCUCGGGGCUCAACCUCGAAAUUGCAUUGGAUACUGCGUUGCUUGAGGAUUGUAGAGGAGAGUGGAAUUCACGGUGUAGCAGUGAAAUGCGUAGAUAUCGUGAGGAAGACCAGUUGCGAAGGCGAGUCCCUGGACAACUCCUGACACUGAGGCACGAAAGCUAGGGGAGCAAACAGG